This 89-nucleotide transfer RNA is filed under the name Clostridiales bacterium. RNAcentral's name for it is "tRNA-Ser". It matches the Rfam family "tRNA". Rfam says of the family: Transfer RNA (tRNA) molecules are approximately 80 nucleotides in length. RNAcentral also lists the same sequence under 1 other name. The record is from RNAcentral. Lineage: Bacteria; Bacillati; Bacillota; Clostridia; Eubacteriales.
GGAGAGGUAUCGAAGUGGUCAUAACGGGGCUGACUCGAAAUCAGUUUGAGAGCAAUCUCACGCGGGUUCGAAUCCCGCCCUCUCCGCCA